Molecule: ribosomal RNA, 484 nt
Filed under: uncultured bacterium
Lineage: Bacteria
Description: partial 16S ribosomal RNA
Rfam family: Bacterial small subunit ribosomal RNA
Source: RNAcentral
AUUGAACGCUGGCGGCAGGCCUAACACAUGCAAGUCGAGCGGAUGAAGGGUGCUUGCUCCUGGAUUCAGCGGCGGACGGGUGAGUAAUGCCUAGGAAUCUGCCUCGUAUUGCUUGAUAACGUCCUGAAACGGGCGCUACUACCGCCUACGUCCUGCUGCAGCAAGUGGGGGAUCUUCGGACCUCUCGCUCUCAUAUGAGCCUAGGUCGGAUUAGCUAGUUGGUGGGGUAAAGGCCUACCAAGGCGACGAUCCGUAACUGGUCUGAGAGGAUGAUCAGUCACACUGGAACUGAGACACGGUCCAGACUCCUACGGGAGGCAGCAGUGGGGAAUAUUGGGCAAUAGGCGAGAGCCUGAUCCAGCCAUGCCGCGUGUGUGAAGAAGGUCUUCGGAUUGUAAAGCACUUUAAGUGGGGAGGAAGGGCAGUAAGUUAAGACCUAGCUGUUUUGACGUUACCAACAGAAUAAGCACCGGCUAACUUCGUG